AUCGCUUCUCGGCCUUUUGGCUAAGAUCAAGUGUAGAAAGGUUGGGUUAAGACCUUGACCCGACACCCAGGUGAUUGAAACCUCUUUAGAAUAUUAAUCACUGCUAUUUAUCCCCAACAGAAGCACAAGGAUAUAGUAGAUUCUCU
Molecule: small nuclear RNA, 146 nt
Filed under: Fukomys damarensis (Damara mole-rat)
Lineage: Eukaryota; Metazoa; Chordata; Mammalia; Rodentia; Bathyergidae
Description: U2 spliceosomal RNA
Rfam family: U2 spliceosomal RNA
About the family: U2 is a small nuclear RNA (snRNA) component of the spliceosome (involved in pre-mRNA splicing). Complementary binding between U2 snRNA (in an area lying towards the 5' end but 3' to hairpin I) and the branchpoint sequence (BPS) of the intron results the bulging out of an unpaired adenosine, on the BPS, which initiates a nucleophilic attack at the intronic 5' splice site, thus starting the first of two transesterification reactions that mediate splicing.
Source: Rfam by way of RNAcentral